RNAcentral lists this ribosomal RNA (450 nucleotides) under uncultured bacterium. RNAcentral describes it as "bacterial SSU rRNA". It matches the Rfam family "Bacterial small subunit ribosomal RNA", at positions 354 to 796 of the family's 1533-position model. The record is from RNAcentral.
GUAGGGAAUCUUCCACAAUGGACGAAAGUCUGAUGGAGCAACGCCGCGUGAGUGAAGAAGGUUUUCGGAUCGUAAAACUCUGUUGUUGGAGAAGAAUGUAUCUGAUAGUAACUGAUCAGGUAGUGACGGUAUCCAACCAGAAAGCCACGGCUAACUACGUGCCAGCAGCCGCGGUAAUACGUAGGUGGCAAGCGUUGUCCGGAUUUAUUGGGCGUAAAGCGAGCGCAGGCGGUUUCUUAAGUCUGAUGUGAAAGCCUUCGGCUCAACCGAAGAAGUGCAUCGGAAACUGGGAAACUUGAGUGCAGAAGAGGACAGUGGAACUCCAUGUGUAGCGGUGAAAUGCGUAGAUAUAUGGAAGAACACCAGUGGCGAAGGCGGCUGUCUGGUCUGUAACUGACGCUGAGGCUCGAAAGCAUGGGUAGCAAACAGGAUUAGAAACCCCAGUAGUCC